AGAGUUUGAUCCUGGCUCAGGAUGAACGCUAGCUACAGGCUUAACACAUGCAAGUCGAGGGGAAACGACAGAGAGUGCUUGCACUUUUUGGGCGUCGACCGGCGAAUGGGUGAGUAACGCGUAUCCAACCUGCCCUUGACUGAGGGAUAGCCCAGUGAAAACUGAAUUAAUACCUCAUGUUCUCCUCAGACGGCAUCAGACGAGGAGCAAAGAUUAAUCGGUCAAGGAUGGGGAUGCGUCUGAUUAGGUAGUAGGCGGGGUAACGGCCCACCUAGCCAACGAUCAGUAGGGGUUCUGAGAGGAAGGUCCCCCACAUUGGUACUGAGACACGGACCAAACUCCUACGGGAGGCAGCAGUGAGGAAUAUUGGUCAAUGGGCGAAAGCUGAACCAGCCAAGUAGCGUGCAGGACGACGGCCCUAUGGGUUGUAAACUGCUUUUAUAGGGGAAUAAAGUUAUCCACGUGUGGAUAUUUGCAUGUACCCUAUGAAUAAGGACCGGCUAAUUCCGUGCCAGCAGCCGCGGUAAUACGGAAGGUCCGGGCGUUAUCCGGAUUUAUUGGGUUUAAAGGGAGCGUAGGCGGUAUAUUAAGCGUGUUGUGAAAUGUAGGUGCUCAACAUCUGACUUGCAGCGCGAACUGGUUUACUUGAGUACGCACAACGUAGGCGGAAUUCGUCGUGUAGCGGUGAAAUGCAUAGAUAUGACGAAGAACUCCGAUUGCGAAGGCAGCUUACGGAGCGCAACUGACGCUGAAGCUCGAAAGUGCGGGUAUCGAACAGGAUUAGAUACCCUGGUAGUCCGCACGGUAAACGAUGGAUGCCCGCUCUGAGUCCUUGUGGAUUUGGGGCCAAGCGAAAGCAUUAAGCAUCCCACCUGGGGAGUACGCCGGCAACGGUGAAACUCAAAGGAAUUGACGGGGGCCGCACAAGCGGAGGAACAUGUGGUUUAAUUCGAUGAUACGCGAGGAACCUUACCCGGGCUUGAAUUGCAGGAGAACGAUCCAGAGAUGGUGAGGCUUCGGGGCUCCUGUGAAGGUGCUGCAUGGUUGUCGUCAGCUCGUGCCGUGAGGUGUCGGCUUAAGUGCCAUAACGAGCGCAACCCCUCUCCUUAGUUGCCAUCAGGUUUAGCUGGGCACUCUGGGGACACUGCCACCGUAAGGUGUGAGGAAGGUGGGGAUGACGUCAAAUCAGCACGGCCCUUACGUCCGGGGCUACACACGUGUUACAAUGGCGUGUACAGAGAGUUGGUGACAUGCAAAUGUCAUCUAAUCCUAAAAGCACGUCUCAGUUCGGACUGGGGUCUGCAACCCGACCCCACGAAGCUGGAUUCGCUAGUAAUCGCGCAUCAGCCAUGGCGCGGUGAAUACGUUCCCGGGCCUUGUACACACCGCCCGUCAAGCCAUGAAAGCCGGGGGUGCCUGAAGUCCGUGACCGUAAGGAUCGGCCUAGGGCAAAACUGG
This 1458-nucleotide ribosomal RNA is filed under the name unidentified rumen bacterium 12-8. RNAcentral's name for it is "bacterial SSU rRNA". It matches the Rfam family "Bacterial small subunit ribosomal RNA". Lineage: Bacteria; Pseudomonadati; Bacteroidota; Bacteroidia; Bacteroidales; Bacteroidaceae. The record is from RNAcentral.